UACCGACAAGAAACCAUAGUACAGCCAAAGUGGACAUUUUUAAAGGUUCCCUUCCUCAGCAUGUUAUGUUGGAUAAAGUUAGGAGAAUAAUUGGCAGGCUUUACAAAGUCAAAAUACCUGUUGCCUGUAAUAACUCUGUUUUCAGUGUAAUUAGGAAUGAUAAAGAGAUCCGCCCCAUACCUGAAAGGACAGGAGUGUACAAGAUCCCUUUAAUUAACAUGCAAGAUGGUGUGCAGAAGGUAUACAUUGGUAUCACUGCAAACAAUUAAGGGAGAGACUUAGGCAACAUCUCCAUGAUAUUACAUCUGGGAAGGCAUCUACUGCACUCAGCGACAUGGCGCUUCAGAAAAACAUCAAUGUCCUGUGG
This 367-nucleotide long non-coding RNA is filed under the name Androctonus crassicauda. Lineage: Eukaryota; Metazoa; Arthropoda; Arachnida; Scorpiones; Buthidae. The record is from RNAcentral.